Molecule: ribosomal RNA, 497 nt
Filed under: uncultured bacterium
Lineage: Bacteria
Description: partial 16S ribosomal RNA
Rfam family: Bacterial small subunit ribosomal RNA
Source: RNAcentral
GACGAACGCUGGCGGCGUGCCUAAUACAUGCAAGUUGAGCGCUGAAGGUUGGUACUUGUACCAACUGGAUGAGCAGCGAACGGGUGAGUAACGCGUGGGGAAUCUGCCUUUGAGCGGGGGACAACAUUUGGAAACGAAUGCUAAUACCGCAUAAAAACUUUAAACACAAGGUUUAAGUUUGAAAGAUGCAAUUGCAUCACUCAAAGAUGAUCCCGCGUUGUAUUAGCUAGUUGGUGAGGUAAAGGCUCACCAAGGCGAUGAUACAUAGCCGACCUGAGAGGGUGAGCGGCCGCAUUGGGACGGUGACACGGCCCAAUCGCAUACGGGAGGCAGCAGUAGGGAAUCUUCGGCAAGGGGCGAAAGUCUGAGCGAGCAACGCCGCGGGAGGGAAGAGGGGUGUCGGAUCGUAAAACUCGGUUGGUAGAGAAGAACGUUGGUGAGAGUGGAAAGCUCAUCAAGUGACGGUAACUACCCAGAAAGGGACGGCUAACUACGUG